This is a non-coding RNA of Acanthosepion pharaonis, 110 nucleotides long. The record is from the annotation of a GenBank genome assembly. Lineage: Eukaryota; Metazoa; Mollusca; Cephalopoda; Sepiida; Sepiidae.
UGGCCAUAUCACAUCAAAACACCAGUUCCUGUAGGAUCACUGAAGUUAAGCAACAUUGAGCCUGGUCAGUAACUAGAUGGCUGAUCACUUGGGAAUACCAGGUGCUGUAA